RNAcentral lists this ribosomal RNA (126 nucleotides) under Streptomyces sp. WAC08241. RNAcentral describes it as "partial 16S ribosomal RNA". It matches the Rfam family "Bacterial small subunit ribosomal RNA", at positions 1 to 127 of the family's 1533-position model. The record is from RNAcentral. RNAcentral also lists the same sequence under 1 other name. Lineage: Bacteria; Bacillati; Actinomycetota; Actinomycetes; Kitasatosporales; Streptomycetaceae.
CAUUCACGGAGAGUUUGAUCCUGGCUCAGGACGAACGCUGGCGGCGUGCUUAACACAUGCAAGUCGAACGAUGAAGCCCUUCGGGGUGGAUUAGUGGCGAACGGGUGAGUAACACGUGGGCAAUCU